AGCGAACGCUGGCGGCAGGCCUAACACAUGCAAGUCGAACGAACCUUUCGGGGUUAGUGGCGGACGGGUGAGUAACACGUGGAAACGUGCCUUUAGGUUCGGAAUAACUCAGGGAAACUUGUGCUAAUACCGAAUGUGCCCUUCGGGGGAAAGAUUAAUCGCCUUUAGAGCGGCCCGCGUCUGAUUAGCUAGUUGGUUGAGGUAAUGGCUCACCAAGGCGACGAUCAGUAGCUGGUCUGAGAGGAUGAUCAGCCACAUUGGGACUGAGACACGGCCCAAACUCCUACGGGAGGCAGCAGUGGGGAAUCUUGCGCAAUGGGCGAAAGCCUGACGCAGCCAUGCCGCGUGAAUGAUGAAGGUCUUAGGAUUGUAAAAUUCUUUCACCGGGGACGAUAAUGACGGUACCCGGAGAAGAAGCCCCGGCUAACUUCGUG
RNAcentral lists this ribosomal RNA (434 nucleotides) under uncultured bacterium. RNAcentral's name for it is "partial 16S ribosomal RNA". It matches the Rfam family "Bacterial small subunit ribosomal RNA", at positions 29 to 507 of the family's 1533-position model. The record is from RNAcentral.